CAAGUCGAACGAUUAAAGCUCCCUUCGGGGAGUGCAUAAAGUGGCGCACGGGUGAGUAACACGUAAGUAAUCUACCCUCGGGUGGGGAAUAACGUUCGGAAACGGACGCUAAUACCGCAUAAUGCAGCGGCACCGCAAGGUGACAGUUGUUAAAGAUUUAUUGCCUGGGGAGGAGCUUGCGGCAGAUUAGCUUGUUGGUAAGGUAACGGCUUACCAAGGCUACGAUCUGUAUCCGGUCUAAGAGGACGGUCGGACACACUGACACUGAAUAACGGGUCAGACUCCUACGGGAGGCAGCAGUCGGGAAUUUUGGGCAAUGGGGGAAACCCUGACCCAGCAACGCCGCGUGAAGGAUGAAGUAUUUCGGUAUGUAAACUUCGAAAGAAUAGGAAGAAUUAAUGACGGUACUAUUUAUAAGGUCCGGCUAACUACGUGCCAGCAGCCGCGGUAAUACGUAGGGACCAAGCGUUGUUCGGAUUUACUGGGCGUAAAGGGCGCGUAGGCGGCGCGGUAAGUCACUUGUGAAAUCUCUGAGCUUAACUCAGAACGGCCAAGUGAUACUGCAGUGCUAGAGUGUGGAAGGGGCAAUCGGAAUUCUUGGUGUAGCGGUGAAAUGCGUAGAUAUCAAGAGGAACACCUGAGGUGAAGACGGGUUGCUGGGCCAACACUGACGCUGAUGCGCGAAAGCCAGGGGAGCAAACGGGAUUAGAUACCCCGGUAGUCCUGGCCCUAAACGAUGAAUACUUGGUGUCUGGAGUUUUAAUGCUCCGGGUGCCGUCGCUAACGUUUUUAGUAUUCCGCCUGGGGAGUACGCUCGCAAGAGUGAAACUCAAAGGAAUUGACGGGGACCCGCACAAGCGGUGGAGCAUGUGGUUUAAUUCGACGCACCGCGAAGA
RNAcentral lists this ribosomal RNA (896 nucleotides) under uncultured Bacillota bacterium. RNAcentral describes it as "bacterial SSU rRNA". It matches the Rfam family "Bacterial small subunit ribosomal RNA", at positions 58 to 967 of the family's 1533-position model. The record is from RNAcentral. Lineage: Bacteria; Bacillati; Bacillota.